UCCCUGGUGGCUCAAACAGUAAAGCGUCCGUCUGCAAUACAGGAGACCCAGGUUCAAUCCCUGGGUUGGGAA
This 72-nucleotide transfer RNA is filed under the name Ovis aries (sheep). It matches the Rfam family "tRNA". From Rfam's summary of the family: Transfer RNA (tRNA) molecules are approximately 80 nucleotides in length. Their secondary structure includes four short double-helical elements and three loops (D, anti-codon, and T loops). Further hydrogen bonds mediate the characteristic L-shaped molecular structure. tRNAs have two regions of fundamental functional importance: the anti-codon, which is responsible for specific mRNA codon recognition, and the 3' end, to which the tRNAs corresponding amino acid is attached (by aminoacyl-tRNA synthetases). tRNAs cope with the degeneracy of the genetic code in two manners: having more than one tRNA (with a specific anti-codon) for a particular amino acid; and 'wobble' base-pairing, i.e. permitting non-standard base-pairing at the 3rd anti-codon position. Lineage: Eukaryota; Metazoa; Chordata; Mammalia; Artiodactyla; Bovidae. The record is from Rfam by way of RNAcentral.